Non-coding RNA from Danio rerio (zebrafish), 639 nucleotides. The record is from Ensembl. NCBI's taxonomy places the organism in Eukaryota, Metazoa, Chordata, Actinopteri, Cypriniformes, Danionidae.
UUAAUCAAAACUUAAAAUUUUAUUUGUCAGGUAAAAUUGUAUUCUGCCAAUUACAUAAUAAAUCAUCAGGAAGCCAAUUCAGAGGUGAGACUGUAACAAUACAACAUCCAUUUAUCAAAGAUAAAUCAAAGAGUUAAGAGAUGCAUACCUGACCACAGAAAUACAUUGCAGCAUAAGUCUCAGAGAUGCUGCAAUGGGGUAGCAUCUUAUCAAGAUCUUAUAGAAGUCAAAAACCAAAUCAACAUAUACCAGUAAAAUAUUACUGUAAACUUAAGACCACUUUACCAAUCACACAGAGACAUUUAAAAUGAUACCAAACAUGAAUAUAGUGAUGCAAGAUACACCAUAUUAAAACCUUGAACAUUUUAUGUGAAAUGUGCUCUAAUCAGAAGGUAACAUAAGGGUCAAGAAGGGGGGUUUAAGUGGAAGGAGAAGGGGGACUUCUUCGCAUUACCCCCUGCUGUUGAGUAGCUCUGUUUCUCCAGCCUGUGAUUGCAUUGUCAACAGUGAUUUGAAUAGAACAGUGGAACAGUUGGUUUCUUCAUCACUUCUCAGAUUAGAAAAUCUAUUGGAACAUUGCAUCUUGUCUCAUGAAAUUCCAUAACAGUUCUUAUGGUCUGAUAUUUUGGAUCCUUACAG